This 3324-nucleotide long non-coding RNA is filed under the name Scophthalmus maximus (turbot). Its description in RNAcentral is "lncRNA (ENSSMAG00000036882.1)". The record is from RNAcentral. Lineage: Eukaryota; Metazoa; Chordata; Actinopteri; Pleuronectiformes; Scophthalmidae.
GAUGAAUCAUACUGAGGCUGCACCGCGGCAGCGUUACAGUAAAUGUUAGAGAGAAGAAUAUGGAGCAGCCGCCGGGGGCAGAGGGCAUGUUGGACACUAACCUGACGGCCCGGCCGUCUCCUCCAGUUUCAUUUUCCACUGGAGCGUUCCAGCUCUUACCUGAGCCGCCAUCAAUCUAUUCAGCCGGAGAGGCGCUGCGAGCCGGGGCCGGUCGGACCGGCCCGGGGCGUCUUCCUUCAACACACAAUGAAGAAGAGCAAAGAAACGCAGCAGACGCAGCAGAGGACGAGCAGGUGGCUCAUUGGGUUUCAUCUCGUCUGCUGACGCAGGGAUCUGAGCGCCAGCGUCCAUAUGGACUCACGGCAGGAAACACUACUUCGGCUGGUCGGGAGGAAUCUGCCUUCACCAUCAACAACAACAAAAAUGAUCACCGCAACAAUUUAUGUAAUGAUAAACAUGUUGUAACGGGCGUGGCCUCGAUCUCCCGAAUCUGGAAUGAGUGACAGACGCGCUAGCAAGGGGGCUAACACCCAUGUGCUAUAGCAUCUGUCGCUGUCACGUCUCUUAAGGUGUCGGGAGUGAUGUCAACAAUCAGUGACUGUAUAUAAAGUGUGUGCAGGCGACAGAAGGAACCAACGGAGACACGGAACCUUCCCACGACACUUGUCUCUUGUCUCUCUUGGACCCUGGAGCCGACGUCCCUGUGAGGAGUCAGGAGCUGGUGUCCCGUUCCCUUCAUGGAUCAUAUGAGGUCAUGAAAUAUUCACAUCUGUAGAGUCUUGAGUGUGUGGUCUCUACUGUACCAGCUGCGUAAGAGGAGCUGUGGCCUCUGACUUCUGCACAGACGAGCUUUUUUCUCCUAGUUUUGUUUUUUGCGCCACAAUGAGUUGAGAGUUUGGUGAAAAUCCACCCAUGCGUUGUUGAGUUAUUGUGUUCACACACACACACACAACUGAAAACACCAUCCUGCUUAUUAGUCUGCAAACUGUGUAAACUCUCCGACCUCAGCAACAUAAAUGUGUCGGAUUCUUACAUCAAGACAAGAUGUCACGCGCUUCCUGAGAAACGGAAAUGUUGGAAAACUUGCUAUGAUCAGUAAAGUGAUUAAAAUGACUGGAGCUGCACCAACGUGUGUUGAGUUCAUCCAAGGCCCACGUCCAGGUGUGUUGGGGAUCAGUUACACGAACCUCCUCAGUGAAGGUAAAUGACCGUUUAUCAGCCUCCUCACCUCCGCGUGUCAGACGUGCACCGACCGCUGGCGACUGAAUGAUUGAUAUCAAACAAAGCUCUCUAAAUCAGGCCUGUAAAUGAUGGAUGACACACUCACACACACACACACACACUCUUGAGUUACAAGGUGCAAAGAGCAAAACCCUGCAGCUGAUUCGGUCAUUUGAGACUGUGUGUGUGUGUGUGUGUGUGUGUGUGGUGACAACAACCCUAAGAGAAGCCGACCACAGUGGUUGAGUCCCUGCAGAGAGACUUGAUCAGUUGUCGGGGAAAUUUCUGUCCUGACUCAGAAUGUUGAGUUUGGUUAAAAGUUUGUCCCUUUGUCCUAAAUACACAGAGACGGAAUGUUUCUAUGGUCAAAUGACGACACGUGAUUCUCAGAGUUAAAUACUUAAAAAAGACAAUUCACCAUGGAGACACUCAAGAGGUUCAUUAUUAUUAUUAUUAUUAUCAUUAGUUUAAAAAGUGCUAUAAUUAUCCCCAGAAAGAACUUUCUUUAAAGCUCCAGUGUGUAAUAUCUAGAAGAACUUGUUCACAGAAGUUGAACAUAUUGUCCAUAACUCUGUUCAUAUAUCUUAGAUAUAGUUCCAUGAGGUGGACCGACCUCCGUGUGAGUCUCCAUGUUUCUACGUCGUGUUGAAUACGCUUGUUGAACUAAACGUCCAGAACACGUCGCGUUCACGUUGAACUUUCAGAUGCUUUCGGAAACCAGACAUGGAAUCAGCGGUGCGACACCAUAAAGUGUCCCCUGUCGGUCGCUCGGUUGGUUGCGGUUUGACACUUCACCACCAGAUGUCGUAAGAAAAUUACACACUGAGUUCUUCUGGGCCUGUGGGUCAUUUACAUAACCCCACCUUUUCCCUUUGAGUUUAGUUUUUUUUCCGUCUGUCUCCGGUUUGUUUUCACUGCUGUCGUGGCACACAGGCUCCCUGCCCCGCGGCGAGGACACGCCGUUAACACACCCUGACAGCGGAAGCCGCUGCUUAAAGUCCACAUACUGUAAAAGGUUUGACUUUGGAGACAGACGUCUAAAAAUAGGAUCUGUGAAUAAAACGUCAAAACAAUCAUCUUGAGGACAAAGGGACGGAGGAUGGUCUUCAGUGGACAGAAGAGCUGAAUGUGCUGGUUGUCAGCUCAGCGUCAGCCAGAGAAGAGCGAGCGGAGGACGGAGAGGGAAGGUCGUCGACACCGAGACAGGAACAGGACAAAUGAAUAUGAACCACGAAAUUACUGACAAAGUCAAACUAAGAACCAGAUUAUUCCAGCAGAUGUGAAUUAAGGUUCUUGGAUAUUUGGAUAUAUUACAGAUAUCUGUCAAUCGACACACACACACACACACACACACACACACACACACACACACACAGUAAUUUCUCCUAAAUGUGUAACUGGGCCUUUAAAUAAAAAGAUGAAGUUGUUCAUCACUGAAAUCCAAACCUGAUCUCCUCCUCCUCCUCCUCCUCAUCCUCAUCCUCCGGCUCCCCCUUGUGGCUGCUCCUCGUCACUACACUUUGUGUUUUUCUAUUAAAAAGGAAAAGAAGAAAAAACAACAGACAUUAUGGAAAACACGUCCUCAUAUCCAACACACAAUCCAUCACAUCACCGCGUGGGAGGGAUGCUGGCGUUCACAUGGAGACGAGCCCUGGCAACAGGUGGAUGCUUACUGUGUGUUGCCAUGGCAACCGGUGAACUGGUGAGAGGGAGGAGAGGCGGAGAUGUCAAAAACCGAGGGAGGAGGAGAAAAAAAACACGAGGGAGGAGAAACGAUGAGGGGAGAAGAGAGACUGUGACACGGUGGACGAGAGAAAGUUCCCUCAGGUUUUAUGAUUAUUUAUAGACGAUAAUGAAAUAAAAUCUGAUAAAAUAAAUGAGACGCUCCUGCAGUUUUUUAAUAACGAGGCCGAGUUCAGCCUCCGGGCCUCAUGUGGUUCCACGAUCGUUUCUCUUUAAUCCACUUUCCUCUGUGAGUCACGUCCCUGAUGUUUGACCUGUUUACUGACAGAUAAAGUAGGACGACCGCCUCACACACAGAACCAGUAUAAUAAUAUAGUAAUAUAAAAACACAUAACACUGGACCGACCAGAGGCGGAGCAG